CUUGGUAGCAGCAGACAGCACACGUACAUCUGUCUUAACGAAAUGGCAUCAUGUGGCAGGCACAGAAGCGAUGGCAGGAGAAGAUGAAGGGCCUGCUGGAGGAGUGAACACAUCCCACAUUUCUUUAUCCAUGAUUAGAAUCAGGACCGGCACUUGGUACUCAGUAAGCGCCAAGAUUUUCUUGGACAAAUUCAAGGUCUUCUCUCAAUUGUGGUCGGAACUGGACAUUCCCACGAGGACAGUUUCCACUUCCAGUAAUGGCUGAGGAGGUCCUAUUGCAAAUAAUAAUGAGAAACUCUGGACCAAGUAUUUUAGAACCACCACCUGAAAGUAUUGGAGAGUAAGUAAGAGCAGCCCCAGGGCAAGGCCAGGGCUGAGCCCCAGGAGUCCAGGCAGAAUCCAAGGGAUUUCCCUUUUAAGUCUGCAGAAUGUGGGGACUGUCACAUUGAGGCCAUGUUUUCUCCAG
This 466-nucleotide long non-coding RNA is filed under the name Homo sapiens (human). RNAcentral's name for it is "HSALNT0089405". The record is from RNAcentral. Lineage: Eukaryota; Metazoa; Chordata; Mammalia; Primates; Hominidae.